Molecule: ribosomal RNA, 253 nt
Filed under: uncultured bacterium
Lineage: Bacteria
Description: partial 16S ribosomal RNA
Rfam family: Bacterial small subunit ribosomal RNA
Source: RNAcentral
GACGAACCGUGCGAACGUUGUUCGGAAUCACUGGGCUUAAAGGGCGCGUAGGCGGGCAAGCAAGUCAGGGGUGAAAGCCCACGGCUCAACCGUGGAAGUGCCUUUGAUACUGCUGGUCUUGAGGGAGGUAGGGGCGUGCGGAACUUCCGGUGGAGCGGUGAAAUGCGUAGAUAUCGGAAGGAACACCGGUGGCGAAAGCGGCGCGCUGGAUCUCUUCUGACGCUGAGGCGCGAAAGCCAGGUGAGCAAACGGG